RNAcentral lists this ribosomal RNA (274 nucleotides) under uncultured Burkholderiaceae bacterium. RNAcentral's name for it is "partial 16S ribosomal RNA". It matches the Rfam family "Bacterial small subunit ribosomal RNA", at positions 413 to 680 of the family's 1533-position model. The record is from RNAcentral. Lineage: Bacteria; Pseudomonadati; Pseudomonadota; Betaproteobacteria; Burkholderiales; Burkholderiaceae.
GGCCUUCGGGUUGUAAAGCUCUUUUGUCAGGGAAGAAACACCGGCUCUAACACAGUCCGGGAAUGACGGUACCUGAAGAAUAAGCACCGGCUAACUACGUGCCAGCAGCCGCGGUAAUACGUAGGGUGCGAGCGUUAAUCGGAAUUACUGGGCGUAAAGCGUGCGCAGGCGGUUAUACAAGACAGGCGUGAAAUCCCCGGGCUUAACCUGGGAAUGGCGCCUGUGACUGUAUAGCUAGAGUGUGUCAGAGGGGGGUAGAAUUCCNCGUGUAGCA